This 592-nucleotide ribosomal RNA is filed under the name uncultured beta proteobacterium. RNAcentral's name for it is "bacterial SSU rRNA". It matches the Rfam family "Bacterial small subunit ribosomal RNA", at positions 329 to 914 of the family's 1533-position model. The record is from RNAcentral. Lineage: Bacteria; Pseudomonadati; Pseudomonadota; Betaproteobacteria.
CAGGUCACUCCUACGGGAGGCAGCAGUGGGGAAUUUUGGACAAUGGGGGCAACCCUGAUCCAGCCAUCCCGCGUGUGCGAUGAAGGCCUUCGGGUUGUAAAGCACUUUUGGCAGGAAAGAAACGGCGCCGGCUAAUACCUGGCGUAACUGACGGUACCUGCAGAAUAAGCACCGGCUAACUACGUGCCAGCAGCCGCGGUAAUACGUAGGGUGCAAGCGUUAAUCGGAAUUACUGGGCGUAAAGCGUGCGCAGGCGGUUCGGAAAGAAAGAUGUGAAAUCCCAGGGCUUAACCUUGGAACUGCAUUUUUAACUACCGGGCUAGAGUGUGUCAGAGGGGGGUGGAAUUCCACGUGUAGCAGUGAAAUGCGUAGAUAUGUGGAGGAACACCGAUGGCGAAGGCAGCCCCCUGGGAUAACACUGACGCUCAUGCACGAAAGCGUGGGGAGCAAACAGGAUUAGAUACCCUGGUAGUCCACGCCCUAAACGAUGUCAACUAGCUGUUGGGGCCUUCGGGCCUUGGUAGCGCAGCUAACGCGUGAAGUUGACCGCCUGGGGAGUACGGUCGCAAGAUUAAAACUCAAAGGAAUUGAC